UGGAGCUAUGGAUGGGACUCAUGU
This 24-nucleotide non-coding RNA is filed under the name Arabidopsis thaliana (thale cress). Lineage: Eukaryota; Viridiplantae; Streptophyta; Magnoliopsida; Brassicales; Brassicaceae. The record is from RNAcentral.